This 391-nucleotide ribosomal RNA is filed under the name uncultured Oscillatoria sp. RNAcentral's name for it is "bacterial SSU rRNA". It matches the Rfam family "Bacterial small subunit ribosomal RNA", at positions 376 to 770 of the family's 1533-position model. The record is from RNAcentral. Lineage: Bacteria; Bacillati; Cyanobacteriota; Cyanophyceae; Oscillatoriales; Oscillatoriaceae.
CGAAAGCCUGACGGAGCAAGACCGCGUGGGGGAAGAAGGCUCUUGGGUUGUAAACCCCUUUUCUCUGGGAAGAAAGUUGUGAAAGCAACCUGACGGUACCAGAGGAAUCAGCAUCGGCUAACUCCGUGCCAGCAGCCGCGGUAAGACGGAGGAUGCAAGCGUUAUCCGGAAUGAUUGGGCGUAAAGCGUCCGCAGGUGGCAGUUCAAGUCUGCUGUCAAAGACCGGGGCUUAACUUCGGAAAGGCAGUGGAAACUGAACAGCUAGAGUAUGGUAGGGGCAGAGGGAAUUCCUGGUGUAGCGGUGAAAUGCGUAGAGAUCCGGAAGAACAUCGGUGGCGAAGGCGCUCUGCUGGACCAUAACUGACACUCAGGGACGAAAGCUAGGGGAGCG